CACUUGACUUAGUAAAAUGCAUAUCUCAAAUCAAUCUAUUGUUUUGCUUAUAAUUUGCCUGCUAAUUCAUAAUUCCUCGGCUGAUUCCAUCCAAGAGACAUUAUGUAGGCGUGACGAUAUCAAAUUAAACUGUGAGGAAAAUUCCACCUGGGCUUCGAUGAAAAUCUUAAAAAUGUUAUCCAGUCGUUCAGGAUAAGGAGCCUUGUGGAUUUUUUGCACUCCAGGAGGCAUGCAACGAACUCUGUCUAGACUAACAUUUCACAAAGAUAAAGAUAUAAAAUUAUUAAUAAGAAAUCUUGUAAAUUUCACAUAUGAAACUAAUUUAAGAACUAUUUGUUAUCUUAAAUGUUCAAAGUAUAUAAUUAUAAUGUAUGGUAUGUACAGAUUCUUAAACGCCUUUUUCCACAUUCUCUUAUAAAUUAAAGACCACUCCAAUUGAAGUGUAAAUACACAUUGCCAUCCCCAGCA
Drosophila serrata is the source of this 468-nucleotide long non-coding RNA. The record is from RefSeq and is a predicted model, not a curated record. NCBI's taxonomy places the organism in Eukaryota, Metazoa, Arthropoda, Insecta, Diptera, Drosophilidae.